AACGAACGCUGGCGGCGUGUUUAAGACAUGCAAGUCGCACGGGAUAAGACAUGUAGUAAUACUUGUUUUAUUUAGUGGCGCACGGGUGAGUAACACGUGAAUUACAUGCCCUAUAGUGGGGAGUAGCCCAGGGAAACUUGGAUUAAUACCCCAUGGUAUCGAAAGAUUAAAGGUGGCCGCAAGGCUGUCGCUAUAGGAUUGGUUCGCGCCCUAUCAGCUUGUUGGUGAGGUAACGGCUCACCAAGGCAAUGACGGGUACCUGGUCUGAGAGGACGAUCAGGCAGACUGGAACUGGGACAAGGUCCAGACACCUACGGGUGUCAGCAGUCGAGAAUAAUUCACAAUGGGGGCAACCCUGAUGGUGCAACGCCUCGUGGAGGAUGACGGUCUUCGGAUUGUAAACUCCUGUCAUCUGGGAGAAAGACCUGACGGUAAAUAGCCGGCAGGGUUGAUAGUACCAGAAGAGGAAGGGACGGCUAACUUCGUGCCAGCAGCCGCCGCCG
This 503-nucleotide ribosomal RNA is filed under the name uncultured bacterium. RNAcentral describes it as "partial 16S ribosomal RNA". It matches the Rfam family "Bacterial small subunit ribosomal RNA", at positions 29 to 523 of the family's 1533-position model. The record is from RNAcentral.